This 2965-nucleotide long non-coding RNA is filed under the name Capra hircus (goat). Its description in RNAcentral is "lncRNA (ENSCHIG00010002769.1)". The record is from RNAcentral. Lineage: Eukaryota; Metazoa; Chordata; Mammalia; Artiodactyla; Bovidae.
CUCUUUACAUGGCCCUGCAAUAAACUUUUCUCUGCUCCAAACUGAUGUAUCAGUUUGUCUGGCCUCACUUUGCUUUGUGCAUGGAGCCAGUGGAGGAGUCUGUGCCUAGAGAAGGUUGAUCUCAGGCUGGUGGACUCCCUUCUCUGAGCCCCCAGCAGCAGCCAGAGUACAUUUGGUUCUGGGGGUUUUAGAAGGACUAUCCCUGACCGGUGCUGGCUGCCCAUGGCAUGAGGUUGUUUGGAGCCAAGAAACAUCUGGAGCCAUGGUCCACAUUUGGUUUUGUUGGAUGAGUUGCUCUGUUGCAGCAAAAAUCUAAAUGAAGCUUUUUUUCUCUUGAGAACUAGAAAAGUAAAGGGAACAGUGAACAGGCUAGAGAAGAAACAUAAUCGGGCCUGAAAGGGUUAAUCACUUCUAGUUUUACUUUAACCGUUGCUAAUCUGUGGUGUCUGCAGCUAGAUUUGUCCUUCAUGAAGCUAAACUAUCACCUCCUCCUAAUACUAUGUCAAUUAUAUCUUGCUCCUGGUGUUUGCUCUCCUUUCUCUCUCGUAGCAAUUCACCCCAUAUAACUGUUUGCAUUUCAGAAAGAAGGUCUCAGGCUCUUAACCCAGAGACAAACAGACCCAAUUACUGGGCUGCCAGAUGUGAGCUGUGACUGUUUUGAAAUAAGGCAGGAAGAGGAAGAAUGUAAGAACCUCAUUACUUUGAACUAUAUGAUCUGCCUUAGACCACAAGACCCAGGGUAUAUAACAUCUCUCAAUUCACCUAGGAAGUGGGCAGUUCUUGAGUCACUAGCCUGUUGUGUUCUCUCCCCUUGCUCAGGAGACAGAAUAAAAGCCACUCUUUCUGUUUCCUCCAAAUCUGUCUCUGCAUUUCUAUUUGACAUUGGGCAGGGAGCCAAGAUUUUGGCAGCAGCUCUGGCUUGCACAGGCUGGGAAUUCUCUACACUCCAUUUGGGAGGCUUCCUUUGCAGUAGCAAAGGUGAUACUUUGCAAAACUGCCACAUCUUCAAGAAGAGUCAUUGAAAGAGAUUUCUGAUAACUUUUAAAAUAUUAUUGCUAAACUAGGUAAGAUAUUUUAAAAGUCUAAUGGAAAAAGGGUUAUUUUUUACAUGUGGUGUAUGAGAAUCAUAUAAUUAACAAAUGUGCAUCCAAGUCUUACUAGAUUCCAGUCCCAGAGAUGAUUUUUUUCUUUCAUUUUUUUAGACAAGGUAGAUUCAAUAUCUACCCCUAUAGAGUUUAUAUCUCAGUGAAGAAGGCAGAUAUUAGGCCUCAUAAAGCAAUAUGAUGAGAGUGACAAUACUGACAUUAAUAAUAAUGCACAGUGUUUGCCAAGUGUUUUUGUCUUUCAGUUACUUUGCUUAGUGCUUUAAAUGUGUGAAUUCAAUUUUCACAGCACCAACAUGGAUUGGGCCCUACUGGUCCUUAGUAGGGUAAGAGAUAUUUCCACGCUCACACAGGUAGUGGAGUAGGGAUUUUAAUUUUGUGCAGAACCAGAGCCCAGGCACUUCUUUGCACAAUGUUAAUAUAUAGGAGAUCCUAAGUUUCAUGGGGAUUGGCAGUAGGAUUACUUAACCCAGAUUUAGGCUGGGAUGACUUGAAAUAAUUUUGGAAGAAGUGAAAUAUAAAGAAAGACCUGGAGGUGAAUAGAAAUGCACUAAAUGAAGGAAAAGGAGGAAAUGGAGGGCAGGUAUGAUAAGGGUAGCCUGAGCUUAGUCUAUUGGGGCAGAGAGAUAUGGGGGAAUGCUUGACCGCAGAGCAUUCUGGAUAAGAUGGCCAGGAGGAGAAUAGAAAGAUGUCCACACAGCACAAAGGGCCUAUCUUCAUGAGAUAGGAAAGGGAGGAGGCACUGAGAAUAUAGGGAAAAGAAUACGAUUCAGAAGCUGGGAGAGCCUUAGGGUCAGCUCUCAAGUGUNNNNNNNNNNNNNNNNNNNNNNNNNNNNNNNNNNNNNNNGUUUCAGUUUAUUCUGACUCAACAUAACAGAUCAAACCAGACUAAAGUUAUGGAAUGAGGGAUAAAAUUUGGAGGAAGUGAAUAAUUACCUAAUAACUGAUUCUAGAAAGGUCUGCUGGGUCUGAACCCUACCCUUCUUGAAAUGUUCUCUGCCUUGCCUUCCAGAACCCCAUUAACUGUUGCUUCUUUUCCAUUCUGCCCUGACCUUUCUUUGUCAGUUCUGUUUGCUGACCCUUCCUCUUCUGCUCAGCUAUUUCCUGUCUGAGCUCCCUGUGGCUCCAAGGCCUACUUUUUCCCCACUCAGCAUGCCCUGACUAUCUCAUCCUGUUCUAGAGGAUCAGCUGUCAUCUGUAUUCUGACUCCAUUCACGUUAUUAUCUAGAGUUCUCACUUUUCAUCUAAGUUCCAGGGUCAGGUAUUCAAUUAAGCAUCUCCAUUUAUAUCUCACAGGAACCUCAAGUUCAACACUUUGAGGAUUAAAACCAUGUCUCUUCACCUAUUCUGAUGUACUCCUCCUCCACUGCUCCCGUUCUCUGUAGUGGGCCCAUCAUUCAUUCACCUAUGAUCUUGAGCUAGAAAUCAGUGAAUGAUGUGGCUCUUAUGUCUUUUGAAUGGGUUUACAGUAGACACGUCAAAUUCAUGGCUACCCAACAUCUUUUAAACAAUCCACAUGUAGCAAUUCACACCUUCCAACUCAGAAGUCAAACUCUCAAGAUCUCUUGAAAUCCAGUUGGAUACAUGUGGCAUAAGUUGCCCUAUCACCUGCUUCCAAGUGAGGUUUGAUGUAGAAGUCGUCAACAGAAGAACCAAGAUAUACAUAGGGCUUCCCUCUGGUGGAUACAGCUGGUUUUAAAUAUGUAAGCGUAUUAGGUGACAGCAGCAAUCACAACGUAAAAUUCCCUAUAUGGACCUGGCACUAGUACUGCAGAUUUAGUGAAUAAGGUUGAAUCAGGUUUUGACAUCUUGUAUGAAGUAGCAGUGGAACAACAGACUGGUUCCAAAUAGGAAAAGGAGUA